RNAcentral lists this ribosomal RNA (447 nucleotides) under Bacillus sp. (in: firmicutes). RNAcentral describes it as "bacterial SSU rRNA". It matches the Rfam family "Bacterial small subunit ribosomal RNA", at positions 57 to 487 of the family's 1533-position model. The record is from RNAcentral. Lineage: Bacteria; Bacillati; Bacillota; Bacilli; Caryophanales; Bacillaceae.
GCAAGUCGAGCGGACAGAAGGGAGCUUGCUCCCGGAUGUUAGCGGCGGACGGGUGAGUAACACGUGGGUAACCUGCCUGUAAGACUGGGAUAACUCCGGGAAACCGGAGCUAAUACCGGAUAGUUCCUUGAACCGCAUGGUUCAAGGAUGAAAGACGGUUUCGGCUGUCACUUACAGAUGGACCCGCGGCGCAUUAGCUAGUUGGUGGGGUAAUGGCUCACCAAGGCGACGAUGCGUAGCCGACCUGAGAGGGUGAUCGGCCACACUGGGACUGAGACACGGCCCAGACUCCUACGGGAGGCAGCAGUAGGGAAUCUUCCGCAAUGGACGAAAGUCUGACGGAGCAACGCCGCGUGAGUGAUGAAGGUUUUCGGAUCGUAAAGCUCUGUUGUUAGGGAAGAACAAGUGCGAGAGUAACUGCUCGCACCUUGACGGUACCUAACCAGA